GAUGAAGAACGUAGCGAAAUGCGAUAAGUAAUGUGAAUUGCAGAAUUCAGUGAAUCAUCGAAUUUUUGAACGCACCUUGCGCCCCUUGGUAUUCCGAGGAGCAUGCCUGUUUGAGUGUCAGUAAAUUCUCAAACCCUUCCAGCUUUUUGUAGUUGGCUCUGGGUCUUGGAUGUGGAGGUGUUGCAGGCCUUUUUGAGGUCAGCUCCCCUGAAAUGCAUUAGCAGAACCGUUUGCAAUCCAUCACAGGUGUGAUAAUUAUCUACGCCAGUGGGUAGCUCUCUGUCACUGUUCAGCUUACAAUUGUCCCAUUCUUGUGGACCAACUAUUGCUGAUUCUUUGACCUCAAAUCAGGUAGGACUACCCGCUGAACUUAAGCAUAUCAAUAAGCGGAGGA
This 394-nucleotide unclassified non-coding RNA is filed under the name soil metagenome. Its description in RNAcentral is "partial contains 5.8S ribosomal RNA, internal transcribed spacer 2, and large subunit ribosomal RNA". The stretch from base 1 to 120 matches the Rfam family "5.8S ribosomal RNA", at positions 35 to 154 of the family's 154-position model. The record is from RNAcentral.